AGCCAGCUCCGUCUGCAUCCAAACCCACACACGUGUCGACACGAUGGCCUGGGUGCCCCGAGCUUCAGGGUUCGCGGGUUGGUCAUUGGGAUACGUGGAGGCCCAACC
This 108-nucleotide small RNA is filed under the name Pseudomonas sp. URMO17WK12:I10. Its description in RNAcentral is "t44 RNA". It matches the Rfam family "t44 RNA". Rfam says of the family: This family consists of a number of bacterial RNA genes of between 135 and 170 bases in length. The t44 gene is found between the map and rpsB genes in all species in the full alignment apart from Shigella flexneri. The function of this RNA is unknown. The record is from RNAcentral. Lineage: Bacteria; Pseudomonadati; Pseudomonadota; Gammaproteobacteria; Pseudomonadales; Pseudomonadaceae. RNAcentral also lists the same sequence under 6 other names.